This 946-nucleotide non-coding RNA is filed under the name Pristimantis duellmani (Duellman's robber frog). Its description in RNAcentral is "partial 12S ribosomal RNA". It matches the Rfam family "Bacterial small subunit ribosomal RNA". The record is from RNAcentral. Lineage: Eukaryota; Metazoa; Chordata; Amphibia; Anura; Strabomantidae.
UUUUAAUAAAUCCUUUAAACGCACAGGCUUGGUCCCAGCCUUAAAAUCAAUUUUUACUUGACUUACACAUGCAAGUCUCCGCACACCUGUGAGAACGCCCUUCCACCCACUUAGGGACAAGGAGCUGAUAUCAGGCACUAUAAUUAGCCCAAAACAUCUAGCCAUGCCACAUCUAUAAAGGACCUCAGCAGUGAUUAAUAUUAAAAAUAAACGUCAGUUUGAUUUAGCCAAUGAAAACAGAACCGGCCAAUCUGGUGCCAGCCGCCGCGGUUACACCACGUGGUUCAAAUUGAUUUUUCCGGCGUAAAGCGUGAUUAAAGGAAAUAACUUACGGAGUCAAAUUAAAACUAAGCCGUAGUACGCUUGUUUUUAAGAAAACCAUACCUCAAAUUACUCCAAAAUACCCACUUGAAUUCACGAUAACUAGGGUACAAACUGGGAUUAGAUACCCCACUAUGCCUAGUCAUAAACUAUAACUUACACCCGAUCUCGCCUGGGAACUACGAGCAAAGCUUAAAACCCAAAGGACUUGACGGUGCCCCAUAUCCCCCUAGAGGAGCCUGUCCUAUAACCGAUACCCCACGUUCAACCUCACCAUUUUUAGUUAAUCAGCCUGUAUACUUCCGUCGCCAGCUUACCGCGUGAGCGUUACAAGUAAGCUUAAUGUCCCUCCACCAACACGUCAGGUCAAAGUGCAGCAAAUAAAAUGGGAAGAGAUGGGCUACACUUUCUAGCAUAGAAAAUACGAAAGACUAUAUGAAAUCCGGUCAGAAGGUGGAUUUAGUAGUAAGAAGAACAUAGAAUACUCUUCUUAACUCGGCACUGGGGUGUGUACACACCGCCCGUCACCCUCUUCAACCUAUAACCCUAGUUUAUAACAACUCACACUACUUUUAGAAGAGGUAAGUCGUAACAUGGUAAGUAUACCGGAAGGUGUGCUUGGAAA